Molecule: long non-coding RNA, 1423 nt
Filed under: Lathyrus oleraceus (garden pea)
Lineage: Eukaryota; Viridiplantae; Streptophyta; Magnoliopsida; Fabales; Fabaceae
Description: Pisum sativum (pea) long non-coding RNA (PSAT_LNC038086)
Source: RNAcentral
GAUUGUUUGUUAAAAGGGUUUAAAAGAGAUAAAUUACAUAAUGUAAAGAAAGUGUAAUAAAGGCGCUUUAAAAAUGACUUGCAAUGGAAAAUAAAUUCUGGAAAAAAAGUACAAAUAAACUUUGAUUGAUAUGCAAGAAAUGGUGUUAACAAAUGUACAUUUUCAAUGAUACUCUUUUCUCAAUACGCUUAGAUACUUUGAGUAAUUUUGAGUAUUUGUACAAUAAUUGAACACCCCGAAAUCCUAACACUAAGACCCUCUAUAUAUAUUAAAUCGAAAUAACCGCUACCAACGACUUUUCUCCCAGGCAAUGACACGUCGCACUCGACAUGUCUUCAAUUCAUGAUAACAUUCCACACAUCUUUUCUUUAAAACUGGAUAAGAGCGAAAUAUAGUUAUCCUUCUUUCAUUCAAAUUCAAACAUAUGUGUCGAAGGCAACCAUAACGUUGCCUCAAUCGAAUUACCAUUCGAAACUUAGAAGCAUUUCUAAGUCUCACACAAUAAUUUUCUCUUACCCAAGGAUCACUUCGACUGACUUUCUCAUACCAUAUUCUUUAUGUCGAAGUCCAAAAUAUCUUCAAAGGUAUUCUCUCUUCUUCGUUUAUUGGCUCCAGCCUGACGUCGAAAAUUCCAGCUAACAUCAUGAUGGACAAAAUCCCAACAGAUGAUCCGUUGAAUCAAAUAGGUUGCUGCAUUGUUUCAAGAUGCAGUCUUUGCAGGAAUAAUGUGGAGACUUCACAACACAUUUUCUUUGACUUCCCAUAUGCCAAACAAAUCUGGAAGUGGUUCUACAAAACUGCUAGACUUGUUAACCCUCAUUCAGCCCUUGAAGAUCGGUGGACGACUUACACCUUAAGCAAAUCAAAGCAAUGCUCUUUAAUUUCAAAAGCUGCUAUCAUCUACAUUUUGUACUACCUGUGGGAAGCUAGGAAUUGGGACAGAUCCAUAAACAUUUCCACAAACAUCGAGUGUUCAAUACAAAAGAUAUAGGCUCAGUUGAUUCUCACAAGAAAUAAAUCUUCAUCCACUGCAUCAUCUUCCCUAAAUGAAUUUCUAAUCGUUAAAGCUCUCGACAUCUCCAUAAAUCCACCUAGAGCUCCAAAGAUUACAAAGAGAUAUGGACACCCCCCUCGUUUGGAAUGAAUUUCUAAUCGUUUGCAGAAACAUACUCAAGCCUCGUGGUUAAAGCUUUUCACGAACUAGCUUUGUUAUCUUGGCAAUUUCGCAACAAAUGAAAUACUUGUAUGGCUCAUUUUCCAUAUAAACACAUUUUCAUCUCCCAUAUUUAUAAAGAAGAGAAAUCUUAUGUCAAUUUUUUUGACGAAUGUAGGUCUCAAUUGCAACACUCUAACCAUUUUUAAAUCUAUUCCUUUUGAAUAUUGGGAAAAUUUUUUUAUACAAAAUAGAUCAGAAAUAUCUUUC